RNAcentral lists this ribosomal RNA (44 nucleotides) under Psophocarpus tetragonolobus (winged bean). RNAcentral describes it as "partial small subunit ribosomal RNA". Lineage: Eukaryota; Viridiplantae; Streptophyta; Magnoliopsida; Fabales; Fabaceae. The record is from RNAcentral. RNAcentral also lists the same sequence under 3 other names.
GGAAGUAAAAGUCGUAACAAGGUUUCCGUAGGUGAACCUGCGGA